This 607-nucleotide long non-coding RNA is filed under the name Volvox carteri. RNAcentral describes it as "long non-coding RNA (VCAR_LNC001997)". The record is from RNAcentral. Lineage: Eukaryota; Viridiplantae; Chlorophyta; Chlorophyceae; Chlamydomonadales; Volvocaceae.
AUUUAUAAGUACACACCAUACAUACAUAUACUAGGUCAGGUACUACUGGUAAGGCAUGAUCCAAUGCCCCCGGGAGAUCCUGGGAUCGAGACCUGUCAGGGUUGUAAUCCUUACCGAUGGUGGAGGGUAACGUGCUCCUUGUCGUAGGGCAUCAUUGACCUCAGAUAAAGAAAUAUUGCGAGCGGACUUGGGCUUCAGACAGAUCGGCAGAUUCCGUUGGAUCCCGGGGGUGGGUGCUGAACCUGAGGAAUCUGCUAAGAAGUUAAGUAGGGUGACUAGGCGAGGGUGCCCUGAAAUAGCGGGGAAGACAGGGUUUCGCAGGGUGUAGAUAUACCCGCCUGUUCCACACAUCAUACACACAACAUGAUGCACAAUUACACAUCAGAUGCGCUGGGCUGGGCUGAGUUAGGCUGAUAUCAUUUUGCUGUUUGCUGCUGGUCUUCAUGAUGCCGAUCAAACGGAGACCCACACCCACACCCACACCCACACCCACACCCACACCCACACCCACAGCCACACCCACACCCACACCCACACCCACACCCACACCCACACCCACACCCACACCCACACCCACACCCACACCCACACCCACACCCACACCCAC